Long non-coding RNA from Carica papaya (papaya), 855 nucleotides. RefSeq lists it as uncharacterized. NCBI's taxonomy places the organism in Eukaryota, Viridiplantae, Streptophyta, Magnoliopsida, Brassicales, Caricaceae. The record is from RefSeq and is a predicted model, not a curated record.
UCGGGGUCGCUCCUGCGUGCACGAACGGUCCUGAUUCAUGCCCUAAAUAGGCUUGAUCGAACGACUCCUGUUGUUCCACGCGGACUCGAACGGACACCUAGAUCGAACAGAAAAAAGUAUUUAAACUUCUUUUUGGCUGACUCUCCAAAACCCUAGUUACCAAAUCGAUAAGUGAAGGAGAAGUAGGGACGUUGGAGGGAGCUCAGGUGCUAGAGGGAUGACGGUGUCAUUGUGUCGAAAGUCGAAAAUGACGCCAAUAAGCUCGAUUUUCUCCUAUUCUUUCAUUUUCAAUUUUUUUUAAACACUUUUAAUGCGGAUUAAUCCGAAAAACACCGCAAACUGAGACAGAGGAGAUGCACAAGUCGGGCCCGAUUCUGGUAAGCCGUUUGUCCCCCCUCCGUUCCCUUUCCUUCCUUAGACACUAAUAGCAUGUUAUUUUUUUGUUUAGCAAAGGAAAGAGAGGAAAGAAAAGAAAUUAAGUGAAAUUCGAGAGUAGAGAUCAUCGCGACCGAUGGUUAUGAAGAACAACACUGCCACCGUCCAAUUUGGGUAAAGAUGCCUAAACCCUCCCCUUCGUAACAACUAACCGAAGGCCAAAGAAAAAAAUAAUAAAAGAAGGUUGCCGAUGGAGCUAAUAAAACAUUGAUUACCAUUUUAAUUUAUUCUACCUUUUUCUUAACCUAUUUUACAUAUAUUCUUGUGUAUAUAUUACCUUAUUUUUAUUUGUUUUGUUUUGUUUCAUAUAAUUUUAUUUUACUAUGAUAUUCUAUAUAUCCUAUUUCAUUCGAAUCAUUCUCACUUUAUUACAUUCCGCUUUAUUUUGUAUUACCUGAAUAUAAGUGAAUUUACUUUAUA